UCGUCGAAGGCGGCGCGUAGUCGCGCGUCCUGUCGCGCGCGACGACCUUCGAGAGGGUUGAAGAUUCCUCCUCGUCCUCCUUCUCUUUCUCGCGGUCCGUUUCGCGGUCCACCGAAAUCCGAGAUCGAGACCAGAGACGUGCGUGCGUGCGUGCGUGCGUACAUGCGUGCGUAUGCACGCGGCUGCUGCGCGCUCACGCAUGCACGCGGGAGCGUGUGUGUGUGUGUGUGUGCGGGUGGGCGCGUAUGUACGCGUCGCGCGCGCGCGCGCGUACGCGCUGGAGUGUGUGCCUGCGUGCAUACGCGCGAGCGCGCGGGUGUGCGCGCUAAGCGAAGGCCAUGUCCGACAGGCUACUACUCUGUGACGGAUGACUUUUGAAAAGGAUAUUUAUCUUAAAAUCCUUUUUCCUUCCCACCGUAUUUUGUCGUCCGCUUGUACGUAAGGAAAUGCGCCGCGGGGAACAAACGAAGACGGCGAAACAAAUGGAAGGCAAAUGUAUAUGGCACAGGUCGCGAAAAACAUUAGGAACAUGUUCGCGAUUCCCUUGUGAGGUAAAUUUCUUGUGAAACGAAACAGCAAAACCACACUGGUACAGAGAAAGCCCACGUACAGCACGCGACUCGUUAAAUGCCGAUCGUUUCUAGCGCACGAUAAGAUUGCAAAUCAAGGAUCGGAAGAUGAAUGCUGGACAUUGUAUAGGAGUUGACAAAUGAGAUGAUGGACAACUCCUAUCAAAAUCAUGAGGCACCUAAAGGUGCCCAAGCAAGGCAGAAUGGACAAUACGAGAUUCCAGAAGAGAAAACUGUAACCAAGACUGGCUUAGAUAUAUUAUAUACGUCUCGGGUAGAUCGUGGUAUAAAUGAUGAAGAUGUGGGAAAAAAGACCUCGUCACUGAAACAUUUACUAGAGAAAGAUCCGAGAGCUGCUGAUUUAAAGUGGUCCCUUUUUGUAGCAGCAUCCAACACCUACCGUUAUGACAGCUGUUUAAAACCAUUUCCACCUAUGUACAUUAAGAACGAGUGCAAGGAUAUUGAAGCUUUGAGGAGAGCCAUAGAAUCAGUCCCUCCUUUGCUUGUGAUAUGUAAAGAACUUGGCGAGGCUGAUGCAUACCAGAAUUAUGGCGAAACAAUAGAGUUGUUAUAUUGGGUCUUGCUACGAUUGAGAGACCCAUAUAUCGAGAGCGUGCAGAAAGAAUGUUACAAUUCUAUACUGAGAAAAGUGCCAUUGGAAGUGCCAGUUGCAGCUCCAAAUCUCAUAUUUCAAAUAACAAGUGCGAAACAGUCUGUGGCAGAAGAGAAAUGGAAAUCUAGUGCUAAAGGUCAUUCCACAUUUUAUGCAUACCAUGGCAGUCGUUUAGAAAACUUCCAUUCUAUCGUGCAUUAUGGUUUACAACAAAACAUGUGCAAAAGAUCAGAGUUUGGCAAAGGAAUAUAUUUUUCGAGCGAGUUAGGAGUGAGCCUACCGUACAGUCCUGUGGGUUAUGGUUGGGGAGGUAGUCUUCUCGGAAGCGAGAUAAGUUGUAUAGCUCUCUGUGAGCUUAUCAAUCAUCCUGACAUAAAAAGAGGAGAUUCGAGGGAUAACGCACAAAAUACGCUGAGUGAUUCAGUUGGUGGAAGAAUACCGGACAAGUACUUCGUAGUGACAAAUAGCGAUUUAGUAAGGAUACGUUAUUUACUUGUUUAUACUCAAGAUCUUCAUACAACUAGUACAACUGACAGUACGGGAUUACUGUCAUGGUUCAAACAACAUAAAUUACUGACGUUUGUGCUCGGUUACGUCGUGCUGUUAGCCUCGGUUGGACUAACGCAGAACAACAUCUAUGUGAUACGCCUGUGGAGCUCGAAAAUAUACACUCGUAUAAAAAUUCCAACAUACGAACAAUUAUUAUUUUUGUCAAAUUGAUUCGAAAACAAAGGCCGAAUUUGGAGAGAUCUAAAGGAAUACGAGAAUUUAUCGAGGUGCAGGGAUAAAUGUAAAAAGUCGUUUUUCCGUGAACUGCCGGCCCCGCGCUAUUCGGGCCACGAGACGGUCUUGCCAGGGGUACGGCCAAUAGGAAGCCUCGUGGCCUCUGUCACAUAACGGUGGGACUCCGGUGCGCAGCCGCGGCCGUGACUGCACCGGC
RNA transcript from Solenopsis invicta (red fire ant), 2122 nucleotides. It is a transcript of the gene named protein mono-ADP-ribosyltransferase PARP16, with no coding region annotated. NCBI's taxonomy places the organism in Eukaryota, Metazoa, Arthropoda, Insecta, Hymenoptera, Formicidae. The record is from RefSeq and is a predicted model, not a curated record. The transcript is spliced from 10 exons.